AUGAAUCUCCUUGCCUGGAACUAUCGAGGGCUGGGGUUGGACUCGACAGUGGGCGAACUGAGGGACCUUAUUAGGUCUCACAACCCAGCGAUGGUGUUCCUUUCAGAAACUAAAAAGUCAGCUAGAGCGAUGGAAAGGUUGAAGUGGAGUUUGGGAUUCACAAGUGGUACUGCGGUGAGUUGCAAGGGGAGAAGUGGCGGUUUGGCUUUGUGGUGGAGGGAGAAU
RNAcentral lists this ribosomal RNA (225 nucleotides) under Triticum aestivum (bread wheat). RNAcentral's name for it is "partial small subunit ribosomal RNA". The record is from RNAcentral. Lineage: Eukaryota; Viridiplantae; Streptophyta; Magnoliopsida; Poales; Poaceae.